UACAGAGGGGGCAAGCGUUGUUCGGAAUUACUGGGCGUAAAGGGCGCGUAGGCGGCCUUCUAAGUCAGACGUGAAAUCCCCGGGCUCAACCCGGGAACUGCGUCUGAGACUGGAAGGCUUGAAUCCGGGAGAGGGAUGUGGAAUUCCAGGUGUAGCGGUGAAAUGCGUAGAUAUCUGGAGGAACACCGGUGGCGAAGGCGGCGUCCUGGACCAACACUGACACUGAGGAGCGAAAGCCAGGGGAGCAAACGGG
Molecule: ribosomal RNA, 253 nt
Filed under: uncultured bacterium
Lineage: Bacteria
Description: partial 16S ribosomal RNA
Rfam family: Bacterial small subunit ribosomal RNA
Source: RNAcentral